RNAcentral lists this ribosomal RNA (775 nucleotides) under uncultured Neocallimastigales. RNAcentral describes it as "partial large subunit ribosomal RNA". It matches the Rfam family "Eukaryotic large subunit ribosomal RNA", at positions 26 to 647 of the family's 3401-position model. Lineage: Eukaryota; Fungi; Neocallimastigomycota; Neocallimastigomycetes; Neocallimastigales. The record is from RNAcentral.
CGCAUCUGUGCAUGCAGCAUAUCAAUAAGCGGAGGAAAAGAAACUAACAAGGAUUCCCCUAGUAACGGCGAGUGAAGCGGGAAGAGCUCAAAUUUGAAAUCUUAAAGGGUUUCCCUUUACGAAUUGUAGUUUAAAGAAGUGUUUUCUGUUGAGGUUUUGGUAAAAGUUCUUUGGAAUAGGACAUCAUAGAGGGUGAGAAUCCCGUAUUUGACCUUUACUUUCAACUUUGUGAUACACUUUCAAAGAGUCGGAUUGUUUGGGAAUGCAGUCCAAAAUGGGUGGUAAAUUUCAUCUAAAGCUAAAUAUUGGCGAGAGACCGAUAGCGAACAAGUACCGUGAGGGAAAGAUGAAAAGAACUUUGAAAAGAGAGUUAAACAGUACGUGAAAUUGUCAAAAGGGAAGCGUUUGACACCAGUGUUGUUUUUCUGAAAAUCAAUUAAAGAACUGUUUAUGCUAAGUUGUUUAGACUUUAUCAGCUAUCUGCUUCAGUUUUGAGCUUUUCUUUAAUGCACUUUUCAGUUAACAAGUCAACAUCAAUUUCUUUUGCUGUAAAAAAGCUUGAGGAAGGUGGCUUGAGAUUCGUCUUAAGUGUUUAUAGCCUCUUGCCUAUGCAGUCGGAGAGAUUGAGGUCUGCAGCGUAGAUCCUUCGGGGCUAAAUGCAUUUGUGCUAAGUUAUAGCAUUUUAUAGACAACUUGUUGACUAUGAUUUGUCUUGUAGCUUACUCGCUUAUGUUAUUUUACCUACGCUUAGGAUGUUGACGAGACUGUCGAUCUC